Molecule: non-coding RNA, 74 nt
Organism: Camelus ferus (Wild Bactrian camel)
Lineage: Eukaryota; Metazoa; Chordata; Mammalia; Artiodactyla; Camelidae
Source: Rfam
GGAGGAUACAGCUCAAGUGCUAGAGCACAUGCUUAGCAUGCAUGAGGUCCUGGGUUCAAUCCCUGGUACCUCCU